Molecule: long non-coding RNA, 875 nt
Organism: Carassius gibelio (silver crucian carp)
Lineage: Eukaryota; Metazoa; Chordata; Actinopteri; Cypriniformes; Cyprinidae
Exons: 4
Source: RefSeq, a predicted model, not a curated record
GGGGUUCUAGCUCUCAGGUAAAUACAGAGUUCAAUACACAGGUGAGUAUUCACAGGGCUAAGCUGUUAGCGUGCAGGGGUUCUAGCUCUCAAGUAAGUACAGUGUUCCAUACACAGGUGGGUAUUCACAGGGCUGGGCUUGUUAAUGUGAAGAGGUUCUUGCUCUUAGGUAAGUACAGCGUUCAAUACACAGGUAAGUAUUCACAGGGCUGGGCUGUUGGCGUGCAGAGGUUCUAGCUCUCAGGUAUGUACAGCGUUCAAUACACAGGUAAGUAUUCACAGGGCUGGGCUGUUAGCGUGCAGGGGUUCUAGCUCUCAGGUAAAUACAGUGUUCGAUACACAGGUGGGUAUUCACAGGGCUGGGCUGUUAGCGUGCAGGGGUUCUAGCUCUCAGGUAAGUACAGUGUUCGAUACACAGGUGGGUAUUCACAGGGCUGGGCUGUUAGCGUGCAGGGGUUCUAGCUCUCAGGUAAGUACAGUGUUCGAUACACAGGUAAGUAUUCACAGGGCUGAGCUGUUAGCGUGCAGGGGUUCUAGCUCUCAAUGUAAGUACAGUGUUCCAUACACAGGUAAGUAUUCACAGGGCUGAGCUGUUAGCGUGCAGGGGUUCUAGCUCUCAAUGUAAGUACAGUGUUCCAUACACAGGUGGGUAUUCACAGGGCUGAGCUGUUAGCGUGCAGGGGUUCUAGCUCUCAAGUAAGUACAGUGUUCAAUACACAGGUGAGUAUUCACGGGGCUGGGCUGUUAAUGCGCUACUCACCACUGAAGAUAUUCAGAGGUCUGUAUUCCAAGCAGAUACGGGUUUAGUCGAUGACUGACGGCUGGUGGGCCUUACAGGUGAAACUGCAAACAAUACUGGGCUUCCCGCCCAGCUUG